RNAcentral lists this unclassified non-coding RNA (33 nucleotides) under Sorangium cellulosum So ce56. Its description in RNAcentral is "sce_Cardiovirus_CRE_32". The record is from RNAcentral. Lineage: Bacteria; Pseudomonadati; Myxococcota; Polyangiales; Polyangiaceae.
UCGGGCAUCAAGGCCCCAUCGAGCGUGGUUCGC